AGCAAUGGAAUGUCACCUUCACGAUUAAUUGUGCUACACAUAAUGUGUUCUCUGGUUAGCAGACUCACUCUAGAAACCUUCCGCGGCAGCCUGAGGAAGUCGGCAGCCAUGUUGGAGAAGCCCACCUACUAGGAAGCCAGUGAAUCCUUUCAGAUCUGGAAGGAAGGAUUUAAGAUGUGGGAGUGGCCUCUCAGACAUAGUCCUAUAGCUGACAGCAAGAAGUCGGGGCCUUGGGUCCCACAGCUGCAAAGAUAUGAAUUCUUCCAAUGACCCGGGUGAGGCAGUCAGGCCCCAGAUGAGACUACAGUCGGCUGACCCCUUGGCUACAGCCUGUGACACCCCGAGCAUGGGAUGCAGCUAUGCUGGGCUCUGCCUCCAGACACACAGAAACUGAGAUGGCUACUGGUUUAAGUCAAAACAGAAUCACAUCCUUUCUCCAACACAUCUGACCAAGGCAGAGACUACACUUCCCAGGCUUUCUCAAGUGGCUACGCUAUGUUCUCGCAUGCGCAGGAGAGUGGAGGAUUGAACCGAUGGAUAUAGUUAACACUGAAGAAUUUACGACUCUUAGGCAGAUGAUGCUCCAAAAGUCCUAUUAUUUCAUCCCUGAAAUUUGUGAAAUCUGGUGUCUGCACAGUAACACUUUCAUCUCACGGGCUCUCACCUAUUAACCUAAUAACUCCAAGUGAUAUUUCCUCAGCUUCCUGGAUCUGAGUGCUGCUUUACAAACCUAUUUUCUAAUUCACAUGGUGGAAGAUCCCUCCAGAUCAUAUGAGAAAGUACACCUUAUGAACUUUCCUUUAUGUUGCCUAUGACGCACAAUGAGGAAAUGUAUCUUACUGAGGGUUAUGCUCCUGGUGAGAUGAAAGCGAGCCGGUGAAGUUGGGGAACACCCUCACUUCCGGGAACCCAUGCUGACCACCUCCCCGCCCCCAUGCAAUACCAUGAAGGUACUCCAGAAGUUUAUGAAGUGAUGGCACAUUCUGAAGGGCCGCUCAGGGCCUGUGACAGUAUGUCUUCUGUAGG
Molecule: long non-coding RNA, 1026 nt
Organism: Zalophus californianus (California sea lion)
Lineage: Eukaryota; Metazoa; Chordata; Mammalia; Carnivora; Otariidae
Exons: 3
Source: RefSeq, a predicted model, not a curated record